This 301-nucleotide ribosomal RNA is filed under the name uncultured bacterium. RNAcentral describes it as "partial 16S ribosomal RNA". It matches the Rfam family "Bacterial small subunit ribosomal RNA", at positions 509 to 809 of the family's 1533-position model. The record is from RNAcentral.
CAGUAGCCGCGGUAAUACGAAGGGUGCAAGCGUUACUCGGAAUUACUGGGCGUAAAGCGUGUGUAGGUGGUUGUUUAAGUCUGUCGUGAAAGCCCUGGGCUCAACCCGGGAAUUGCGAUGGAUACUGGGCGACUAGAGUGCGGUAGAGGAUAGUGGAAUUUCCGGUGUAGCAGUGAAAUGCGUAGAGAUCGGAAGGAACAUCUGUGGCGAAGGCGACUAUCUGGGCCAACACUGACACUGAGACACGAAAGCGUGGGGAGCAAACAGGAUUAGAUACCCCUGUAGUCCCUGUCUCUUAUAU